This 1371-nucleotide ribosomal RNA is filed under the name uncultured bacterium. RNAcentral describes it as "bacterial SSU rRNA". It matches the Rfam family "Bacterial small subunit ribosomal RNA", at positions 28 to 1381 of the family's 1533-position model. The record is from RNAcentral.
GAUGAACGCUGGCGGCGUGCCUAAUACAUGCAAGUCGAGCGAACGGACGAGAAGCUUGCUUUUCUGAUGUUAGCGGCGGACGGGUGAGUAACACGUGGAUAACCUACCUAUAAGACUGGGAUAACUUCGGGAAACCGGAGCUAAUACCGGAUAAUAUUUUGAACCGCAUGGUUCAAAAGUGAAAGACGGUCUUGCUGUCACUUAUAGAUGGAUCCGCGCUGCAUUAGCUAGUUGGUAAGGUAACGGCUUACCAAGGCAACGAUGCAUAGCCGACCUGAGAGGGUGAUCGGCCACACUGGAACUGAGACACGGUCCAGACUCCUACGGGAGGCAGCAGUAGGGAAUCUUCCGCAAUGGGCGAAAGCCUGACGGAGCAACGCCGCGUGAGUGAUGAAGGUCUUCGGAUCGUAAAACUCUGUUAUUAGGGAAGAACAUAUGUGUAAGUAACUGUGCACAUCUUGACGGUACCUAAUCAGAAAGCCACGGCUAACUACGUGCCAGCAGCCGCGGUAAUACGUAGGUGGCAAGCGUUAUCCGGAAUUAUUGGGCGUAAAGCGCGCGUAGGCGGUUUUUUAAGUCUGAUGUGAAAGCCCACGGCUCAACCGUGGAGGGUCAUUGGAAACUGGAAAACUUGAGUGCAGAAGAGGAAAGUGGAAUUCCAUGUGUAGCGGUGAAAUGCGCAGAGAUGUGGAGGAACACCAGUGGCGAAGGCGACUUUCUGGUCUGUAACUGACGCUGAUGUGCGAAAGCGUGGGGAUCAAACAGGAUUAGAUACCCUGGUAGUCCACGCCGUAAACGAUGAGUGCUAAGUGUUAGGGGGUUUCCGCCCCUUAGUGCCGCAGCUAACGCAUUAAGCACUCCGCCUGGGAGUACGACCGCAAGGUUGAAACUCAAAGGAAUUGACGGGGGCCCGCACAAGCGGUGGAGCAUGUGGUUUAAUUCGAAGCAACGCGAAGAACCUUACCAAAUCUUGACAUCCUUUGACAACUCUAGAGAUAGAGCCUUCCCCUUCGGGGGACAAAGUGACAGGUGGUGCAUGGUUGUCGUCAGCCCGUGUCGUGAGAUGUUGGGUUAAGUCCCGCAACGAGCGCAACCCUUAAGCUUAGUUGCCAUCAUUAAGUUGGGCACUCUAAGUUGACUGCCGGUGACAAACCGGAGGAAGGUGGGGAUGACGUCAAAUCAUCAUGCCCCUUAUGAUUUGGGCUACACACGUGCUACAAUGGACAAUACAAAGGGCAGCGAAACCGCGAGGUCAAGCAAAUCCCAUAAAGUUGUUCUCAGUUCGGAUUGUAGUCUGCAACUCGACUACAUGAAGCUGGAAUCGCUAGUAAUCGUAGAUCAGCAUGCUACGGUGAAUACGUUCCCGGGUCU